ACAGGCAUGUGCCACUACGCCUGGCUAAUUUUUUCAUUUUUAUUUUUUGUAGAGAUGGGGUCUUGCUGUGUUGCCCAGGUUGGUCUUGAACUCUUGGCCUCAAGCAAUCCUCCUCCAGAGCCUCCCAAAGUGUUGGGAUUACAGGCAUGAGCCACUGUGCCUGGCCAGAAAUUGUUUUGAAAGGCUAACCAGUAAAACAUUAACCAAUUUACAAGAGAAAAACAGCCCCAUCAAAAAGUGGGCAAAAGAUACGAACAGACACUUCUCAAAAGAAGACAUUUAUGCGGCCAAAAAACAUAUGAAAAAAAUCUCAUCAUCACUGGUCAUUAGAGAAAUGCAAAUCAAAACCACAAUGAGAUACCAUCUCAUGCCAGUUAGAAUGGCAAUCAUUAAAAAGUCAGGAAACAACACAUGCUGGCGAGGCUGUGGAGAAAUAGGAACGCUUUUACACUGUUGGUGGGAGUGUAAAUUAGUGCAGCCAUUGUGGAAGACAGUGUGGCGAUUCCUCAAGGAUCUAGAAUCAGAAAUACCAUUUGACCUAGCAAUCCCAUUACUGUGUAUAUACCCAAAGGAUUAUACAUCAUUCUGCUAUAAAGACACAUGCACAUGUAUGUUUAUUGCAGCACUAUUCACAAUAGCAAAGACUUGGAACUGACCCAAAUGCUCAUCAGUGAUAGACUGGAUAAAGAAAAUGUGGCACAUAUACACCAUGGAAUACUAUAAAUAUAUAAAAAAAGAUGAGUUCAUGUCCUUUGCAGGGACAUGGAUGAAGCUGGAAACCAUUGUUAUCAGCAAACUAACACAGGAACAGAAAACCAAACACCACAUAUUCUCACUUAUAAGUGGGAAUUGAACAAUGAGAACACAUGGACACAGGGAGGGGAACAUCACACAACGGGGCCUGUUGAGGGGUAGGGGGCUAGAGGAGGGAUAGCAUUAGCAGAAAUACCUAAUGUAGAUGACAGGUCGAUGGAUGCAGCAAACCACCAUGGCACGUGUAUACCUAUGUAACCUGCACGUUCUGCACAUGUAUCCCAGAACUUAAAGUAUAAUUUUAAAAAAAGGGAAAAAAAGUAAAAAAAAAAAAUAAACAAAUCAGCAAACUACACAGAAGAAUAUUAGAACAAUUUCUCUCAAAUUUCUCUUCCAUUGAGCUUCCUGCCUGACCCUAGAGCUCCCUCACCUCUUUGGCUUACCAGCUCCCAUCCUUCAAAGUUUCUGAGUUAUUCUGUGGGGAAUUUGAGCUACUCUCUUCCUUUAGGUCCAGGCCAUCUCAGCUAGGUCCAGAGAGCCUCACUCACCUCCCCAACUAAGCAAGCAUCCCUGGAGGUAUGUUCUUCAUGCAAGGGCAGUUCCUGAGAGAAUUUAUUUGGUUAGCUCAUAAAGGGAUUAUAUUGUUUUCCCCUGCACAUGAGAGAGAGUAGCUGAAGUCUACUGACUUUAAUGAAAUUCUCUGUGAAGAGUCUGGGAGGGACGGUUUAGGUAAUCCAUCUACAAGGGUGCUCAGAGAGUUUGGAGCGAAGCGAUUGGUGUCGUUAUGAUGGCAUUCUAUGGCACAGUAGUUACAGUGCACCAGGCACUCUUUUAAAGACUUCUCAAGUGUUCAUUCAUUUAAUUCUUACCACAACCCUGUGAGGGACUUCCUGUUAUUGUCUCCGUUUUACUGGUGAGGAAGCUGAAGCAGAGAAGUUAACUACUUUGCCCAAGUUCCUUUCCUCCUUUGAGGAUAAGGAGCCAAAGGUUCAGGAAUGCCCAAAUCACAUCCCUCUUCUUGUCCAACCACCCAACCUCUCCACAGGCAACCUGAUCAGCCACCUUUAUACAAAGUACAGUAUUCAGAUUGGAAUAAAAAUAUAUCUCCUUGACUCCCUGCUCUGAGAGGUAUUUCUUCUCAGACUCCCAAAAGCUGGAUUGAGGAACAUGGCUUAGUUGGUACAGUAUAGCAAAAUGUCCUGCUUGUUGAAACUGAAUUUGUGAUUAUCUUCUUUUUCCUCAAGAAGUCAUUGAGGGCUGUUGUAUCCCUAUAAAAGGAGAAUUUAGAGUAGCCAAAUAAAAGGGGGCUGAAGUAGUCUCAUUACGGAAAAAGAGAGUGUGAGCAGCCUUUUAGUAAUUGAUUGCCUCAAGAUGUGGUAUUCAGCCAGGGUGAAGGGAAAGUAGUUGGGGCUGUGGAUCUGGAGGUUUACAGAAGCCUUUACCCAUCCUGAGACUCAGUUCUGCUGUUGGUCUUCAGAGAAGUGUCUGCACCUGCUGAGAAGAAAUCACACCACUGCACUCUAGCCUGGGCAACAGAGCGAGACUCUGUCUCAAAAAAAAAACAAAAAAAAAAAA
This is a long non-coding RNA of Homo sapiens (human), 2328 nucleotides long. RefSeq lists it as uncharacterized. The record is from RefSeq and is marked validated. Lineage: Eukaryota; Metazoa; Chordata; Mammalia; Primates; Hominidae. The transcript has a single exon.